RNAcentral lists this transfer RNA (73 nucleotides) under Aspergillus awamori. RNAcentral describes it as "tRNA-Ile". It matches the Rfam family "tRNA". Rfam says of the family: Transfer RNA (tRNA) molecules are approximately 80 nucleotides in length. Their secondary structure includes four short double-helical elements and three loops (D, anti-codon, and T loops). The record is from RNAcentral. Lineage: Eukaryota; Fungi; Ascomycota; Eurotiomycetes; Eurotiales; Aspergillaceae.
CCCGGACUAGCUCAGUUGGCAGAGCGCACGAUUAAUUAGCGUGAGGUCGCAAGUUCGACUCUUGCGUCUGGGC